UCACAAGGUAAUUGUGUUGGGGGAGAGGUGGAAAGUUUGGUAUCCUGAACAAAAUCAUUGAUUCUUUCAGCAUCGGAACUGGAUGGGCCCUGGAAGUGGUUGAAGGAAACUGAAAUUGCAGGCUCAGCUCUCCCUUCCCAGUCCAGACCAGCAAGGCCUUGGGGUUCUUUCCACCUUUGGCAAUUAAACUGGUACGACUGUAAACACUGCUGUUGAAAUAGUCAGUGAAAGCAGAGCUCUAUAAUCAAGGUGCAUCAAAGAGAGUCUCAGAUCCUCUAAGAAGAAUGUCUCAAAGCUAAAGGGGAAAAUAAUAUAAGGUCCUUCUUUUUUUUAAUUGCUGUACCCACACAGCAUAUGGAAGUUCUCAGGCCAGGGACUGACCUACUGUGA
RNAcentral lists this long non-coding RNA (390 nucleotides) under Sus scrofa (pig). RNAcentral describes it as "lncRNA (ENSSSCG00070016983.1)". The record is from RNAcentral. Lineage: Eukaryota; Metazoa; Chordata; Mammalia; Artiodactyla; Suidae.